This 253-nucleotide ribosomal RNA is filed under the name uncultured bacterium. RNAcentral's name for it is "partial 16S ribosomal RNA". It matches the Rfam family "Bacterial small subunit ribosomal RNA", at positions 524 to 776 of the family's 1533-position model. The record is from RNAcentral.
UACAGAGGGUGCAAGCGUUAUUCGGAUUUACUGGGCGUAAAGGGCGCGUAGGUGGUUUGGUAAGUCUGGUGUGAAAUCCCUCGACUCAAUCGAGGAAGUGCACCGGAUACUGCUAGACUAGAGUAUGGGAGAGGUGAGUGGAAUUCCAGGUGUAGAGGUGAAAUUCGUAGAUAUCUGGAGGAACAACAGAGGCGAAGGCGACUCACUGGACCAUUACUGACACUGAGGCGCGAAAGCGUGGGGAGCAAACAGG